GCUGGGUGUGGUGGUGCACACCUGUAGUCCCAGCUACUCAGGAGGCUGAGGCAGGAGAAUCGCUUGAACCUGGGAGGUGGGGGUUGCAGUGAGCCAAGGUGGCGCCAAUGCACUCCAGCCUGGGUGACAGAGUGAGACUCUGUCUCAA
Molecule: non-coding RNA, 148 nt
Filed under: Nomascus leucogenys (northern white-cheeked gibbon)
Lineage: Eukaryota; Metazoa; Chordata; Mammalia; Primates; Hylobatidae
Source: Rfam by way of RNAcentral